UACGAAGGGGGCUAGCGUUGUUCGGAUUUACUGGGCGUAAAGCGCACGUAGGCGGAUCGUUAAGUCAGAGGUGAAAUCCCAAGGCUCAACCUUGGAACUGCCUUUGAUACUGGGGAUCUUGAGUCCGGGAGAGGUGAGUGGAACUGCGAGUGUAGAGGUGAAAUUCGUAGAUAUUCGCAAGAACACCAGUGGCGAAGGCGGCUCACUGGCUCGGUAUUGACGCUGAGGUGCGAAAGCGUGGGGAGCAAACAGG
RNAcentral lists this ribosomal RNA (253 nucleotides) under uncultured bacterium. RNAcentral's name for it is "partial 16S ribosomal RNA". It matches the Rfam family "Bacterial small subunit ribosomal RNA", at positions 524 to 776 of the family's 1533-position model. The record is from RNAcentral.